GUGAGGAAUUUUCUGCAAUGGGCGAAAGCCUGACAGAGCAAUACCGCGUGAGGGAUGAAGGCCUACGGGUUGUAAACCUCUUUUUUCAAGGAGGAAGAUCUGACGUUACUUGAAGAAUAAGCAUCGGCUAACCCUGUGCCAGCAGCCGCGGUAAUACAGGGGAUGCAAGUGUUAUCCGGAAUCAUUGGGCGUAAAGCGUCUGCAGGUUGAUCUCUAAGUCUUUUGUUAAAUCUUUGGGCUUAACCCGAAAUCUGCAAAGGAAACUAUAGAUCUUGAGUAUAGUAGAGGGAAAGGGAAUUUUCAGUGGAGCGGUGAAAUGCGUAGAUAUUGGAAAGAACACCAACAGCGAAGGCACUUUCCUGGGCUAUUACUGACACUCAGAGACGAAAGCUAGGGGAGCAAACAGGAUUAGAAACCCUAGUAGUCC
RNAcentral lists this ribosomal RNA (427 nucleotides) under uncultured bacterium. RNAcentral's name for it is "bacterial SSU rRNA". It matches the Rfam family "Bacterial small subunit ribosomal RNA", at positions 354 to 796 of the family's 1533-position model. The record is from RNAcentral.